Molecule: ribosomal RNA, 404 nt
Filed under: uncultured prokaryote
Description: bacterial SSU rRNA
Rfam family: Bacterial small subunit ribosomal RNA
Source: RNAcentral
UGGGGAAUAUUGGGCAAUGGACGCAAGUCUGACCCAGCAACGCCGCGUGAAGGAAGAAGGCUUUCGGGUUGUAAACUUCUUUGACAGGGGAAGAGUAGAAGACGGUACCCUGAAAACAAGCCACGGCUAACUACGUGCCAGCAGCCGCGGUAAUACGUAGGUGGCAAGCGUUGUCCGGAUUUACUGGGUGUAAAGGGCGUGCAGCCGGGCUGACAAGUCAGAGGUGAAAACCAGGGGCUCAACCUCUGGACUGCAUUUGAAACUGUUGGUCUUGAGUAUCGGAGAGGUAACCGGAAUUCCUAGUGUAGAGGUGAAAUGCGUAGAUAUUAGGAAGAACAUCAGUGGCGAAGGCGGGUUACUGGACGACAACUGACGGUGAGGCGCGAAAGCGUGGGGAGCAAACA